CCGAAGUAAACAGCAACAAUUGUUUAGGGUCUGCUGCUCUGGUGCUAGGACAUAUUUUUGCUGAAGCGAGCGCAGGAAAAUUGUGUGAAUGAAGAUGAGAAAAACGUCUAUGCGAAUUACAUCCAAUUGAUAUGUGACCGAUGUUCGAGACAUGACUACCUGUGGCAAAAGAUCUGAGAUAGAGCUAUUGUGUUGGAAUAUUGACUCGUAAAGACGGUUGAGCGCGGACAUCGCCGGACAGAUUCCUCCGGUUCAUGCAGCUUUGGUCGAUCGAUGACCCAGAGAGAACCAUGUGAGAAAGUAAACAUUAGGAAUCGAGCAAUUCGAUAGCAACGAGCGAGUGAUAGCUAUCGAUGCAAGUGUCAGAACUUUUCGAGUUGUUUUUAUUUGUUUUACGGUGCUGCCAGAAUAGUCUAUACAAGCGCAUAUCUCUCUGGCUGAAAAUGAGUGGACAGACGAAUCACCAACAGUUUGAACGACUCGUUAAACCAAUGAAAGCGAAUGUAAACAUUGCUCGAAAUUUUUGUGGAGGCAGUUCAAAUAGAAUCCCGGUUAAGGAAAAGUGGGAGGAAUUCAGUGAGGAGCUUAAUGUACUGAGACCAUCAAUGUGUCUUGGUUCAGAAUGG
This is a long non-coding RNA of Toxorhynchites rutilus septentrionalis, 626 nucleotides long. RefSeq lists it as uncharacterized. The transcript is spliced from 3 exons. NCBI's taxonomy places the organism in Eukaryota, Metazoa, Arthropoda, Insecta, Diptera, Culicidae. The record is from RefSeq and is a predicted model, not a curated record.